AGAGUUUGAUCAUGGCUCAGGACGAACGCUGGCGGCACGCUUAACACGUGCAAGUCGAACGAGAGAAGAGGAGCUUGCUUUUCUGAUCUAGUGGCGGACGGGUGAGUAACACGUGAGCAAUCUGCCUUUCAGAGGGGGAUACCGAUUGGAAACGAUCGUUAAUACCGCAUAACAUAAUUGAACCGCAUGAUUUGAUUAUCAAAGAUUUAUCGCUGAAAGAUGAGCUCGCGUCUGAUUAGCUAGUUGGUAAGGUAACGGCUUACCAAGGCGACGAUCAGUAGCCGGACUGAGAGGUUGAUCGGCCACAUUGGGACUGAGACACGGCCCAGACUCCUACGGGAGGCAGCAGUGGGGAAUAUUGCACAAUGGAGGAAACUCUGAUGCAGCGAUGCCGCGUGAGGGAAGAAGGUUUUAGGAUUGUAAACCUCUGUCUUCAGGGACGAAAAAAGACGGUACCUGAGGAGGAAGCUCCGGCUAACUACGUGCCAGCAGCCGCGGUAAUACGUAGGGAGCGAGCGUUGUCCGGAAUUACUGGGUGUAAAGGGAGCGUAGGCGGGAUCGCAAGUCAGAUGUGAAAACUAUGGGCUUAACCCAUAAACUGCAUUUGAAACUGUGGUUCUUGAGUGAAGUAGAGGUAAGCGGAAUUCCUAGUGUAGCGGUGAAAUGCGUAGAUAUUAGGAGGAACAUCAGUGGCGAAGGCGGCUUACUGGGCUUUAACUGACGCUGAGGCUCGAAAGCGUGGGGAGCAAACAGGAUUAGAUACCCUGGUAGUCCACGCCGUAAACGAUGAUUACUAGGUGUGGGGGGACUGACCCCUUCCGUGCCGCAGCAGACGCAAUAAGUAAUCCACCUGGGGAGUACGACCGCAAGGUUGAAACUCAAAGGAAUUGACGGGGGCCCGCACAAGCAGUGGAGUAUGUGGAUUAAUUCGAAGCAACGCGAAUAACCUUACCAGGUCUUGACAUCGUAUGCAUAGCUCAGAGAUGAGUGAAAUCUCUUCGGAGACAUAUAGACAGGUGGUGCAUGGUUGUCGUCAGCUCGUGUCGUGAGAUGUUGGGUUAAGUCCCGCAACGAGCGCAACCCUUACUGUUAGUUGCUACGCAAGAGCACUCUAGCAGGACUGCCGUUGACAAAACGGAGGAAGGUGGGGAUGACGUCAAAUCAUCAUGCCCCUUAUGACCUGGGCCUCACACGUACUACAAUGGCUGUCAACAGAGGGAAGCAAAGCCGCGAGGUGGAGCGAACCCCUAAAAGCAGUCUUAGUUCGGAUUGUAGGCUGCAACCCGCCUACAUGAAGUCGGAAUUGCUAGUAAUCGCAGAUCAGCAUGCUGCGGUGAAUACGUUCCCGGGCCUUGUACACACCGCCCGUCACGCCAUGGGAGUCGGUAACACCCGAAGCCUGUAGUCUAACCGCAAGGAGGACGCAGUCGAAGGUGGGAUUGAUGACUGGGGUGAAGUCGUAACAAGGUA
This 1470-nucleotide ribosomal RNA is filed under the name metagenome. Its description in RNAcentral is "bacterial SSU rRNA". It matches the Rfam family "Bacterial small subunit ribosomal RNA". The record is from RNAcentral.